GACGAGGGAUCCUAGCGUUGUUCGGAAUCAUUGGGCGUAAAGCGGGUGUAGGCGGCUCUGUAAGUCAGAUGUGAAAGCCCUGGGCUCAACCCGGGAAGUGCAUUUGAUACUGUAGAGCUUGAGUGUGGGAGAGGCUAGUGGAAUUCCUGGUGUAGUGGUGAAAUACGUAGAUAUCAGGAGGAACAUCGGUGGCGAAGGCGGCUAGCUGGCCCAACACUGACGCUGAGAUCCGAAAGCGUGGGGAUCAAACAGG
This 253-nucleotide ribosomal RNA is filed under the name uncultured bacterium. RNAcentral's name for it is "partial 16S ribosomal RNA". It matches the Rfam family "Bacterial small subunit ribosomal RNA", at positions 524 to 776 of the family's 1533-position model. The record is from RNAcentral.